RNAcentral lists this ribosomal RNA (774 nucleotides) under Escherichia coli. RNAcentral describes it as "partial 23S ribosomal RNA". It matches the Rfam family "Bacterial large subunit ribosomal RNA", at positions 1124 to 1883 of the family's 2925-position model. The record is from RNAcentral. Lineage: Bacteria; Pseudomonadati; Pseudomonadota; Gammaproteobacteria; Enterobacterales; Enterobacteriaceae.
UAAAGAAAGCGUAAUAGCUCACUGGUCGAGUCGGCCUGCGCGGAAGAUGUAACGGGGCUAAACCAUGCACCGAAGCUGCGGCAGCGACACUAUGUGUUGUUGGGUAGGGGAGCGUUCUGUAAGCCUGCGAAGGUGUACUGUGAGGUAUGCUGGAGGUAUCAGAAGUGCGAAUGCUGACAUAAGUAACGAUAAAGCGGGUGAAAAGCCCGCUCGCCGGAAGACCAAGGGUUCCUGUCCAACGUUAAUCGGGGCAGGGUGAGUCGACCCCUAAGGCGAGGCCGAAAGGCGUAGUCGAUGGGAAACAGGUUAAUAUUCCUGUACUUGGUGUUACUGCGAAGGGGGGACGGAGAAGGCUAUGUUGGCCGGGCGACGGUUGUCCCGGUUUAAGCGUGUAGGCUGGUUUUCCAGGCAAAUCCGGAAAAUCAAGGCUGAGGCGUGAUGACGAGGCACUACGGUGCUGAAGCAACAAAUGCCCUGCUUCCAGGAAAAGCCUCUAAGCAUCAGGUAACAUCAAAUCGUACCCCAAACCGACACAGGUGGUCAGGUAGAGAAUACCAAGGCGCUUGAGAGAACUCGGGUGAAGGAACUAGGCAAAAUGGUGCCGUAACUUCGGGAGAAGGCACGCUGAUAUGUAGGUGAAGUCCCUCGCGGAUGGAGCUGAAAUCAGUCGAAGAUACCAGCUGGCUGCAACUGUUUAUUAAAAACACAGCACUGUGCAAACACGAAAGUGGACGUAUACGGUGUGACGCCUGCCCGGUGCCGGAAGGUUAAUUG